RNAcentral lists this ribosomal RNA (430 nucleotides) under uncultured bacterium. RNAcentral's name for it is "bacterial SSU rRNA". It matches the Rfam family "Bacterial small subunit ribosomal RNA", at positions 917 to 1345 of the family's 1533-position model. The record is from RNAcentral.
GGGCCCGCACAAGCGGUGGAGCAUGUGGUUUAAUUCGAAGAUACGCGCAGAACCUUACCAACACUUGACAUGUUCGUCGCGACUCUAAGAGAUUAGAGUUUUCGGUUCGGCCGGACGAAACACAGGUGCUGCAUGGCUGUCGUCAGCUCGUGUCGUGAGAUGUUGGGUUAAGUCCCGCAACGAGCGCAACCCUCACUUUUAGUUGCCAUCAUUUAGUUGGGCACUCUGAAAGAACUGCCAGUGAUAAGCUGGAGGAAGGUGGGGAUGACGUCAAGUCCUCAUGGCCCUUACGUGUUGGGCUACACACGUGCUACAAUGGUAUCUACAACAGGAAGCAAGACUGCGAAGUUAAGCAAAUCCUUAAAAGAUACCUCAGUUCGGAUUGCACUCUGCAACUCGAGUGCAUGAAGCUGGAAUUACUAGUAAUCGU